AGAGGGAACGACGCAUGCUUGAGAAAUGGCGGGAAACAGAGGAGGCUCGAGGCUUGCUCACACGCACACAGCCAACUGCUUCUGGACCGCCUUGCUCACACGCACACAGCCAACUGCUUCUGGACCGCCUGAAAGGCAACCUCGCCCGCCGCGGUGGUGUGGGGCGGGCAUCCCUUGAGACUGUGCUCUGGAGGCCUGGAGAAACAGCUUUCUAUCCUCAGCACUGGGGAGAGCAGGCCUCAAUCCCUGCCUUUGCCUGCCGCCCCUCUUCCUUCCCUCUCAAAGCAUACCCAGCAGCCCCGGCGCUGAGAAACGCGUUACUCUCUUAUCAGCUGUGGGAGAGACAAGACAGACUGGCCUCUGGGCGGAGGGGCCGCCAUUGCCUGCCCUCUGGACCAGGGCCUCACAGAUACCCUCAGCUUCAGGAUUAGGGCUGCGUUGGUUUUUCCCCCCACAUCAGGGGACUUCAACAAGUAACCUCCAGUUCCAUAGAUAAAACUUGUAUUCCCCCCUUCUCCAUGGCAGGGGUUUUGAGCCUAGAGAAGGAAGAUCGGAGCUUCCUGGGGCUCCUGUGAAGCAGGCAGGGGGCAGCACUGGGCCCCGGGAAGAGGCGGAGAAGGCGAGGGAGUGCCUGCGGUGAGCCCAGAGCCUUGGGCCCGUUAUCCUCUGAUGCUGCUCCCCCAACUUUCCUGCCGUCAGUCCCUGACCUUGCCUGAGACCUUGGCGGCUCCCGCACCUCUCUCCCGGCUCCUCCUUGCUGAGAACACAACCCGCAAGGCCCUUCCGCCUGGCUGGACUGAGUCCCCUAUGGAGGCAGCCUGGCAGGGAGCAGGUAUCUUCCUGGCAGAAGAGGACAGACCUGGUAAACUGAGAGACUGUUGAUGCCCCAAUGUUCUGCCUAGCCUGCCUGGAAACUCCAGAAGGCCACAACAACUGGAUUCUCUUUUCUGAUUUUUGCUGCAGCUUCUGCUUUGUAAUCAUACGGACAGUUGUGCUUGUCAGAGUUAACGGUGAAGUCCACAAAACAAAUUUCCACAUCGGCAGUCAAACCUCUCAUCCUGCAGCUAAGAAUGCCUAACCUCCUGGGAAUGCAGCCCAGCAGAUCUCAGCCUCAUUUUACCCAGCCCCAGUUCAAUAUGGAGUUGCUCUGGUUCGAACACCUCUGACAGUAUGGAGGGUUUACAAUUCUUAAGAAGAGAGAAGUUGCUGAGCUUUAGAGAAUAAGCUGAAACAUGCAUGAAGCACUAAUAACUCUUGCCCUGUACUUUGUUACUUUAGUGAUAAAUUUUAC
Molecule: long non-coding RNA, 1291 nt
Filed under: Homo sapiens (human)
Lineage: Eukaryota; Metazoa; Chordata; Mammalia; Primates; Hominidae
Description: non-protein coding LIPE-AS1:27
Source: RNAcentral